This 472-nucleotide ribosomal RNA is filed under the name uncultured Streptococcus sp. RNAcentral describes it as "bacterial SSU rRNA". It matches the Rfam family "Bacterial small subunit ribosomal RNA", at positions 907 to 1382 of the family's 1533-position model. The record is from RNAcentral. Lineage: Bacteria; Bacillati; Bacillota; Bacilli; Lactobacillales; Streptococcaceae.
AGAAUUGACGGGGGCCCGCACAAGCGUGGAGCAUGUGGUUUAAUCGAAGCAACGCGAAGAACCUUACCAGGUCUUGACAUCCCGAUGCUAUUUCUAGAGAUAGAAAGUUACUUCGGUACAUCGGUGACAGGUGGUGCAUGGUGUCGUCAGCUCGUGUCGUGAGAUGUUGGGUUAAGUCCCGCAACGAGCGCAACCCCUAUUGUUAGUUGCCAUCAUUCAGUUGGGCACUCUAGCGAGACUGCCGGUAAUAAACCGGAGGAAGGUGGGGAUGACGUCAAAUCAUCAUGCCCCUUAUGACCUGGGCUACACACGUGCUACAAUGGUUGGUACAACGAGUUGCGAGUCGGUGACGGCGAGCUAAUCUCUUAAAGCCAAUCUCAGUUCGGAUUGUAGGCUGCAACUCGCCUACAUGAAGUCGGAAUCGCUAGUAAUCGCGGAUCAGCACGCCGCGGUGAAUACGUUCCCGGGCCUU